AUGAUUUUUACUAUAGUUCAAUGCAACAAAAUUAUAUUUUAUAUAAUAUCCACUAUAUCUAGCUUGGUAUGCUUCCAUCCUCUUUCUUAUGGAAUGGCCUAUUUCCACUUUCCAGCUAUCACGAUGCUCCUCCCGCGUUCGUGCUUUUGUUUAAUAAUUCUUAUAGAAUGUGAGUUUACAUGCCAAUCAAUCGGUGGCUUCAAGUGUGGCGUGGGUUUCAAGAAAAAUCUCCAUAUACUAAACCAGAAUGAUGGAAAAUAUAUAUUUGUAAUUUUAUUAAAUAAUGAUAUGCAUAUAAUAUUUGUCAUGUGGGAAAGUGAGUUUUAA
RNAcentral lists this ribosomal RNA (327 nucleotides) under Triticum aestivum (bread wheat). Its description in RNAcentral is "partial small subunit ribosomal RNA". The record is from RNAcentral. Lineage: Eukaryota; Viridiplantae; Streptophyta; Magnoliopsida; Poales; Poaceae.